This is a long non-coding RNA of Scophthalmus maximus (turbot), 1951 nucleotides long. RefSeq lists it as uncharacterized. The record is from RefSeq and is a predicted model, not a curated record. Lineage: Eukaryota; Metazoa; Chordata; Actinopteri; Pleuronectiformes; Scophthalmidae. The transcript has 2 exons.
CAGACAGACACAGACAGACACACACAGACACACACACACACACACACACAGACACACACACACACACACACACAGACACACACACACACACACACACAGACACACAGACAUGAAAACGAAAGUGUUCAGUGAGUCAGUCUCCAUUUUAACUGAGCAGAACAGGAAGACAAACAGGAAACUGCCGCAGGUUGAAGAGCUGCAGGUUGUCAGAGAUCAGCUGUUCUUCUCUGGCCUCAGCUCUGAAGUCCACAACCUCCCACCUGAGACGACUGGAGCUGAGAGACAACACGCUGCAGGAUUCAGGAGUGAAGGAGCUGCGUGGUUUUGUGGAGAGUCCACACUGUCGACUGGAGACUCUGAGGUCAGACACCUUGUUUACAUUUUCUUAUUCAUUGUUGGAGCCAGGACUUUGGAACCUUGGACGUGGUUGUGAGUUUGUUAGUAGAGACGUUGUCUCCCAGCAGGAAGGGCCCGGUCGCACCGGCCGAAUGAUUGGACCCUCCCCCCCCCCAAAUUAAUAAGUUGUCUUAGUAAAGCUUGAGCUCAUAACGUUGAGGUAAAUUUAAUUAUUAUAUCACCUGCUAAAGCUUUUAAUAAAAAUCUGAAUUGUAAUUAAGGCAGAUGUUGUGGACAUUGAAUGUAUCUUUUUUUCUAUGGUAGUAAAAAGUUCAGAAAUUGUACUGCGUAACAUCUUGGAGGUUUUCAUAGGUUGCUUGAGACAAUUCAAUCAACAGAUCCCUUUAAUCCUAGUCACCGGAACUUAUCCUGGCACCAAGGGCCCGGAUCAUUAGAGGAGAGCCGCCGUGAACGGGCGUGGCUGAUCGACGUGGUCGGCUCGAGGGGCUAUUCAGCCGGCUGCACUAUCAGAGCAGACGGGGUAGACGUCGGGAUGAAGGCAGUGAGAAGCGAGGCGCGUCUCCUUGACACCUAAGACCUUUAUCAGGGUAAUACUCUAUAGGACCUCGGAGAGCUGGACCAGUACCUCCUGUACAGGCGUCACUCGGGAUCUGACAGAAGGCUCCGAUAUUAGUCUUGAUGUGAAGUCGAGUCUUGAUGCCAGUGUGACUGGAUGUAAAGAGGAGUCCCAGGAUGUUGAGAUCAAAAUAAUAAAUGUCUUGACACUUAUAUAUUCAGGUGUCUGGUGGCUCAAGGCGGACCGCAGUACCCGGACUGCAGUAACCGGACUACAGUACCCGGACCGCAGCCAACGGCUGACGUCCCAGUAUGGGGCCCAGGAGACCUUCGGGCCCCAGCUGGAGGCUCUUCAAGGACGAGGAGGACGACGACCUGCAUCCAAGACCCAGAGGUUCUGGGUCCAGAGGUUCCCCCCCCUCCAGAAAAUUCCCACAACCCAGCCAACCAGCCUCCCCUGUCGGCCCAUCACAAGGCAGCAUGGUUGGCUUUGGGUGGGACACACCACCUACAGUGUUCCUGCAGACCUCCGCCAACGAGGUCAGACACUUUCACAACUGUGAGCAACCCUCAGCAAGCAAAGGGGCUGCGGGCAGAACUACAUGACCUUUUGAAAGGUGCCAUUAGGGAAGUGGAGUGUGGGAAUCACCAGGCUGCGUUUUACUCCCACUAGUUCUUGGUUCCGGAGCAGGACAGGGCUUUUCGUCCAAUUCUGGACCUCAGGGGAAUCGACAGUCAACUGACUGCAGUAAUAAACAUUUUUUGAUUUUCCUCUGUGCUGAUGGUUUAUUAUAGUCACUAACAAAACCUUAACUCUGAUAAUCAGAUUCUCUUCUUUAAAGUUGUGGCGGUAAACGUCUCAGCGUGUCGGACACUUCCUGAAUAUUAAUUGUCUUUGUGUUUUUAAAAGUCUUGUGCACUCUGAGGUCAGAAUAUAGAAACACAAGGAAAACGUUAAGUCGACAGUCUUAAAGUUUGACAAAUGAUGAAACAGUUUGAGACUGAAACUGAAUGUGAGAAUAAAAACAAAGUGAGCUUC